GUAGUCUCGCACAGAUGCAUAUCAAUAAGCGGAGGAAAAGAAACUAACAAGGAUUCCCCUAGUAACGGCGAGUGAAGCGGGAAGAGCUCAAAUUUGAAAUCUUAAAGGGUUUCCCUUUACGAAUUGUAGUUUAAAGAAGUGUUUUCUGUUGAGGUUUUGGUAAAAGUUCUUUGGAAUAGGACAUCAUAGAGGGUGAGAAUCCCGUAUUUGACCUUUACUUUCAACUUUGUGAUACACUUUCAAAGAGUCGGAUUGUUUGGGAAUGCAGUCCAAAAUGGGUGGUAAAUUUCAUCUAAAGCUAAAUAUUGGCGAGAGACCGAUAGCGAACAAGUACCGUGAGGGAAAGAUGAAAAGAACUUUGAAAAGAGAGUUAAACAGUACGUGAAAUUGUCAAAAGGGAAGCGUUUGACACCAGUGUUGUUUUUCUGAAAAUCAAUUAAAGAACUGUUUAUGCUAAGCUGUUUAGACUUUAUCAGCUAACUGUUUAGUUUUGAGCUUUUCUUUAAUGCACUUUUCAGUUAACAAGUCAACAUCAAUUUCUUUUGCUGUAAAAAAGCUUGAGGAAGGUGGCUUGAGAUUCGUCUUAAGUGUUUAUAGCCUCUUGCCUAUGCAGUCGGAGAGAUUGAGGUCUGCAGCGUAGAUCCUUCGGGGCUAAAUGCAUUUGUGCUAAGUUAUAGCAUUUUAUAGACAACUUGUUGACUAUGAUUUGUCUUGUAGCUUACUCGCUUAUGUUAUUUUACCUACGCUUAGGAUGUUGAUAUCGCGCUCUCACUG
This 774-nucleotide ribosomal RNA is filed under the name uncultured Neocallimastigales. Its description in RNAcentral is "partial large subunit ribosomal RNA". It matches the Rfam family "Eukaryotic large subunit ribosomal RNA", at positions 24 to 644 of the family's 3401-position model. Lineage: Eukaryota; Fungi; Neocallimastigomycota; Neocallimastigomycetes; Neocallimastigales. The record is from RNAcentral.